UCUAAACUUUCUAGAUGGAUCAGCCCAACUACCCCCGUUAACCCCUAGAGCGAGGAGACUGAUCCAUCCACAUAUCGUCUCUCCUUCUCCUUCACCCAGCGCCUCCUCCAUCUCCCGGCUCGUCCCCAAGCAACUGCCCUCGAGGAGUUCCCCGUCCUCGUCGCCGGACGCCGCCGCUCCUACCAAAUCCAGCCGCCGCCGGAUCUGCCUCCACCGGACCAGAUCCGUCCGGAUCCGGCUGCCCUCGACCAUCCUCGACCUUAUAUUCUCCUCCAGUCGCCUGAUUGAUGCGCCGCCGACGGAUCUGCCUCCGCUGGACCGGAUCCGUCCGGAUCCGGACGCCCUCGACCGCCCUCGGCCUCGUCUGCGACUCCUCCGUCCGGAUUCUGCUGUCCUCGACCGUCCCCGGCCUAGUUUGCUCCUCCCGUCGUGUGAUUUGAUGCCCCACCUAUUCGAUUUCUUCGAUUUCGUGGUGUUGCAAUCUGCUUUUCUUUGAUCGAUUAUUUGAUAGACCGAAUCCUUCCCUUGUGAUUAUCCUCAUCUCUGUGUCCUGAUUUCUGUGGUCGCUUGUUGAAUCAUCAACGUCUACCUA
Triticum aestivum (bread wheat) is the source of this 592-nucleotide long non-coding RNA. RefSeq lists it as uncharacterized. The record is from RefSeq and is a predicted model, not a curated record. The transcript has 2 exons. Lineage: Eukaryota; Viridiplantae; Streptophyta; Magnoliopsida; Poales; Poaceae.